RNAcentral lists this ribosomal RNA (281 nucleotides) under Klebsiella pneumoniae. RNAcentral's name for it is "partial 16S ribosomal RNA". It matches the Rfam family "Bacterial small subunit ribosomal RNA", at positions 487 to 767 of the family's 1533-position model. The record is from RNAcentral. Lineage: Bacteria; Pseudomonadati; Pseudomonadota; Gammaproteobacteria; Enterobacterales; Enterobacteriaceae.
GAAGCACCGGCUAACUCCGUGCCAGCAGCCGCGGUAAUACGGAGGGUGCAAGCGUUAAUCGGAAUUACUGGGCGUAAAGCGCACGCAGGCGGUCUGUCAAGUCGGAUGUGAAAUCCCCGGGCUCAACCUGGGAACUGCAUUCGAAACUGGCAGGCUAGAGUCUUGUAGAGGGGGGUAGAAUUCCAGGUGUAGCGGUGAAAUGCGUAGAGAUCUGGAGGAAUACCGGUGGCGAAGGCGGCCCCCUGGACAAAGACUGACGCUCAGGUGCGAAAGCGUGGGGA